Molecule: ribosomal RNA, 301 nt
Filed under: uncultured bacterium
Lineage: Bacteria
Description: partial 16S ribosomal RNA
Rfam family: Bacterial small subunit ribosomal RNA
Source: RNAcentral
CAGUAGCCGCGGGAAUACGAAGGGUGCAAGCGUUACUCGGAUUUACUGGGCGUAAAGCGUGCGUAGGUGGUGGUUUAAGUCCGUUGUGAAAGCCCUGGGCUCAACCUGGGAAUUGCAGUGGAUACUGGGUCACUAGAGUGUGGUAGAGGAUAGUGGAAUUUCCGGUGUAGCAGUGAAAUGCGUAGAGAUCGGAAGGAACAUCUGUGGCGAAGGCGACUAUCUGGGCCAACACUGACACUGAGGCACGAAAGCGUGGGGAGCAAACAGGAUUAGAUACCCCAGUAGUCCCUGUCUCUUAUAC